UUGAAUGGCCGCAGUAAUUUGACUGUGCAAAGGUAGCAUAAUCAUUAGUUUUUUAAUUAAAAGCUUGAAUGAAUGGUUGGACGAAAUAAAAUCUGUCUCUUUUUGAUAAUUAGAAUUUAAUUUUUAAGUUAAAAAGCUUAAAUUUUUGUAAAAGACGAGAAGACCCCAUAGAUUUUUAUAUUUUUUUUUAUAUUUUUAAUUAGGAAUAUUUUAUUAAUUAUAGAUUUAAGUAUUAUAUUGGGGUAAUAGAAAGAUUGAUAAAAUUCUUUUUUAAAAUAUUCAAUAAUUUUUGUUUAUUUGAUCCUUUAUUAUAGAUUAAAAGAUUAAGUUACCUUGGGGAUAACAGCGUAAUUUUUUUAGAGAGUUCUUAUCGAAAAAAGAGUUUGCGACCUCGAUGUUGGAUUAAAAUUUAUUUCGGGUGAAGAAGUUCGAAGGUUUGGUCUGUUCGACCAUUAAAUUUUUACAUGAUCUGAGUUCAGACCGGCGUAAGCCAGGUUGGUUUCUAUCUUUAUUUAAGUAAUUUAUUUUAGUACGAAAGGACCAAAUAAUUAAUAUAUUAGUAUUUAUUUGUUGGAUAAGGUUAUUAUUUUGGCAGAUUAGUGCGGUGAAUUUAGAAUUCAUAAAUGUAAAUUUUUACAAAUAAUAUUGUUUUUUUAUGAUUUAUUAUUUUCUUUUAUUGGAAUAUUGCUUUUAGUAAUUUGUGUAUUAUUAGGUGUGGCUUUUCUCACUUUG
RNAcentral lists this ribosomal RNA (732 nucleotides) under Tiporus collaris. RNAcentral describes it as "partial 16S ribosomal RNA". The stretch from base 1 to 533 matches the Rfam family "Bacterial large subunit ribosomal RNA", at positions 1923 to 2925 of the family's 2925-position model. Lineage: Eukaryota; Metazoa; Arthropoda; Insecta; Coleoptera; Dytiscidae. The record is from RNAcentral.